UACGUAGGGUGCAAGCGUUGUCCGGAAUUAUUGGGCGUAAAGAGCUCGUAGGCGGUGUGUCGCGUCGGCCGUGAAAACCUGCAGCUUAACUGUGGGCGUGCGGGCGAUACGGGCAGACUGGAGUACUGCAGGGGAGACUGGAAUUCCUGGUGUAGCGGUGGAAUGCGCAGAUAUCAGGAGGAACACCGGUGGCGAAGGCGGGUCUCUGGGCAGUAACUGACGCUGAGGAGCGAAAGCGUGGGGAGCGAACAGG
This 253-nucleotide ribosomal RNA is filed under the name uncultured bacterium. RNAcentral's name for it is "partial 16S ribosomal RNA". It matches the Rfam family "Bacterial small subunit ribosomal RNA", at positions 524 to 776 of the family's 1533-position model. The record is from RNAcentral.